Molecule: unclassified non-coding RNA, 236 nt
Filed under: Glomus sp.
Lineage: Eukaryota; Fungi; Glomeromycota; Glomeromycetes; Glomerales; Glomeraceae
Description: partial contains 5.8S ribosomal RNA and internal transcribed spacer 2
Rfam family: 5.8S ribosomal RNA (bases 1-65)
Source: RNAcentral
GUGAAUCAUCGAAUUUUUGAACGCAAAUUGCACUCUCCGCUGUGAGUAUGCCUGUUUGAGGGUCAGCCUAAUAAAAAUCGACAUCGUUGCUGUUCCGCGGUUACGUUCGGCGGAACUUGGGUUAUCUUAAACCUUUUGGUUUAAGCGACUUAAAAUUUCCUUUUGAUUCCAUGAACGAUUCUAAUAUUUAUUUCUUUACACGGUUAAGGUAUCGAUUUUUAUUAGACGUGUCCGUA